Molecule: ribosomal RNA, 434 nt
Filed under: uncultured bacterium
Lineage: Bacteria
Description: partial 16S ribosomal RNA
Rfam family: Bacterial small subunit ribosomal RNA
Source: RNAcentral
ACGGAAGGCAGCAGUAGGGAAUAUUGCACAAUGGGGGAAACCCUGAUGCAGCGACGCCGCGUGAGUGAUGAAGUAUUUCGGUACGUAAAGCUCUAUCAGCAGGGAAGAUAAUGACGGUACCUGACUAAGAAGCCCCGGCUAACUACGUGCCAGCAGCCGCGGUAAUACGGAGGAUGCAAGCGUUAUCCGGAUUUAUUGGGUUUAAAGGGUGCGUAGGCGGACUGUUAAGUCAGCGGUGAAAUACCACGGCUCAACCGUGGGGCUGCCGUUGAUACUGGCGGUCUGGAGUACGAUCGGCGCCGGCGGAAUGUGUCAUGUAGCGGUGAAAUGCAUAGAUAUGACACAGAACACCGAUCGCGAAGGCAGCUGGCGAGAACGAUACUGACGCUGAGGCACGAAGGUGCGGGGAUCAAACAGGAUUAGAUACCCUGGUA